UGACCUCAAAUCAGGUAGGACUACCCGCUGAACUUAAGCAUAUCAAUAAGCGGAGGAAAAGAAACUAACAAGGAUUCCCCUAGUAACUGCGAGUGAAGCGGGAAAAGCUCAAAUUUAAAAUCUGGCAGUCUUUGGCUGUCCGAGUUGUAAUCUAGAGAAGUGUUAUCCGCGCUGGACCGUGUACAAGUCUCCUGGAAUGGAGCGUCAUAGAGGGUGAGAAUCCCGUCUUUGACACGGACUACCAGGGCUUUGUGAUGCGCUCUCAAAGAGUCGAGUUGUUUGGGAAUGCAGCUCAAAAUGGGUGGUAAAUUCCAUCUAAAGCUAAAUAUUGGCGAGAGACCGAUAGCGAACAAGUACCGUGAGGGAAAGAUGAAAAGAACUUUGGAAAGAGAGUUAAACAGUACGUGAAAUUGCUGAAAGGGAAACGCUUGAAGUCAGUCGCGUUGUCCAGGGAUCAACCUUGCUUUUGCUUGGUGCACUUUCUGGUUGACGGGUCAGCAUCAAUUUUGACCAUUGGAAAAAGAUUGAGGGAAUGUGACAUCUUUGGAUGUGUUAUAGCCCUUGGUUGCAUACGAUGGUUGGGAUUGAGGAACUCAGCACGCCGCAAGGCCGGGUUUUUAACCACGUACGUGCUUAGGAU
This 640-nucleotide ribosomal RNA is filed under the name Cortinarius birkebakii. RNAcentral describes it as "eukaryotic LSU rRNA". It matches the Rfam family "Eukaryotic large subunit ribosomal RNA", at positions 1 to 624 of the family's 3401-position model. Lineage: Eukaryota; Fungi; Basidiomycota; Agaricomycetes; Agaricales; Cortinariaceae. The record is from RNAcentral.